GAUGAACGCUAGCGGCAGGCUUAAUACAUGCAAGUCGAGGGGCAGCAUAAGUAGCAAUACUUGAUGGCGACCGGCAAACGGGUGCGGAACACGUACAGAACCUUCCUUCGAGCGGGGAAUAGCCCGGAGAAAUCCGGAUUAAUACCCCAUAGUAAAUUGAAAAGGCAUCUUUUAAUUUAAAGUAUUAUCACUUGAGAUGGCUGUGCGCCUGAUUAGGUAGUUGGCGGGGUAACGGCCCACCAAGCCUUCGAUCAGUAACUGGUGUGAGAGCACGACCAGUCACACGGGCACUGAGACACGGGCCCGACUCCUACGGGAGGCAGCAGUAAGGAAUAUUGGUCAAUGGACGCAAGUCUGAACCAGCCAUGCCGCGUGAAGGAUGAAGG
RNAcentral lists this ribosomal RNA (386 nucleotides) under uncultured bacterium. RNAcentral describes it as "bacterial SSU rRNA". It matches the Rfam family "Bacterial small subunit ribosomal RNA", at positions 28 to 414 of the family's 1533-position model. The record is from RNAcentral.